Molecule: ribosomal RNA, 470 nt
Filed under: Streptococcus sp. oral taxon 431
Lineage: Bacteria; Bacillati; Bacillota; Bacilli; Lactobacillales; Streptococcaceae
Description: bacterial SSU rRNA
Rfam family: Bacterial small subunit ribosomal RNA
Source: RNAcentral
GGCGGCGUGCCUAAUACAUGCAAGUAGAACGCUGAAGGAGGAGCUUGCUCUUCUGGAUGAGUUGCGAACGGGUGAGUAACGCGUAGGUAACCUGCCUGGUAGCGGGGGAUAACUAUUGGAAACGAUAGCUAAUACCGCAUAACAGUAGAUAUUGCAUGAUAUCUGCUUGAAAGGUGCAAAUGCAUCACUACCAGAUGGACCUGCGUUGUAUUAGCUAGUUGGUGAGGUAACGGCUCACCAAGGCGACGAUACAUAGCCGACCUGAGAGGGUGAUCGGCCACACUGGGACUGAGACACGGCCCAGACUCCUACGGGAGGCAGCAGUAGGGAAUCUUCGGCAAUGGACGGAAGUCUGACCGAGCAACGCCGCGUGAGUGAAGAAGGUUUUCGGAUCGUAAAGCUCUGUUGUAAGAGAAGAACGAGUGUGAGAGUGGAAAGUUCACACUGUGACGUAUCUACCAGAAAGGACG